AAAACAUCGCCUCUUGCAAAACUAACAAAUAAGAGGUCCCGCCUGCCCUGUGACUAUAUGUUUAACGGCCGCGGUAUUUUGACCGUGCAAAGGUAGCGCAAUCACUUGUCUUUUAAAUGGAGACCCGUAUGAAUGGCAUAACGAGGGCUUAACUGUCUCCUCUUUCAAGUCAAUGAAAUUGAUCUCCCCGUGCAGAAGCGGGGAUAAGCACAUAAGACGAGAAGACCCUGUGGAGCUUUAGGCACUAAGGCAGAAUAUGUUAAGUACCCCAGCUUAAUGACUAAAACAACUUACACCCUGCCCUAAUGCCUUCGGUUGGGGCGACCGCGGGGAAAUAAAAAACCCCCAUGCAGAUAUGGGAGAACAUCUCCUACAACUAAGAGCUCCCGCUCUAAUCAACAGAACCUCUGACUUUAUAAGAUCCGGCAAUGCCGAUCAACGGACCAAGUUACCCCAGGGAUAACAGCGCAAUCCCCUUUUAGAGCCCAUAUCGACAAGGGGGUUUACGACCUCGAUGUUGGAUCAGGACAUCCUAAUGGUGCAGCCGCUAUUAAGGGUUCGUUUGUUCAACGAUUAAAGUCCUACGUGAUCUGAG
This 595-nucleotide ribosomal RNA is filed under the name Centropyge flavissima (lemonpeel angelfish). RNAcentral's name for it is "partial 16S ribosomal RNA". It matches the Rfam family "Bacterial large subunit ribosomal RNA", at positions 1810 to 2609 of the family's 2925-position model. The record is from RNAcentral. Lineage: Eukaryota; Metazoa; Chordata; Actinopteri; Pomacanthidae.